MicroRNA precursor from Macaca fascicularis (crab-eating macaque), 66 nucleotides. Lineage: Eukaryota; Metazoa; Chordata; Mammalia; Primates; Cercopithecidae. The record is from Ensembl.
AGUGAGUGUGGAUUUGGCGGGGUUCCGGGGUCCCGACGGCGACCUCGGCAACUCCUCACUCACCGU